This 468-nucleotide ribosomal RNA is filed under the name uncultured bacterium. RNAcentral describes it as "partial 16S ribosomal RNA". It matches the Rfam family "Bacterial small subunit ribosomal RNA", at positions 28 to 507 of the family's 1533-position model. The record is from RNAcentral.
GAUGAACGCUGGCGGCGUGCUUAACACAUGCAAGUCGAACGGACAGGCCAUGCUCUUGUGGGGUGCUCGAGUGGGGAACGGGUGAGUAAAACAUGAGUAACAUGCCCUUGACUUAGUGAUAACUCUUGGAAAAAGCGGAUCAUACACGAUAGGAGCUAUUGAUGCACGGUGGGGGUUGGUAAGUUUCGGUGGUUGGGGAUGGUCUCGCGGCUUAUCCGCUUGUUGGUGGGGUAGUGGCUUACCAAGGUUUUGACGGGUAGCCGGCCUUAGAGGCUGACCGGCCACAUUGGUACUGAGAUACGGCCCAGACUCCUACGGGAGGCAGCAGUGGGGAAUAUUGCACAAUGGGCGGAAGCCUGAUGCAACAACGCCGCGUGCGGGAUGACGGCCUUCGGGUUGUAAACCGCUUUCGCCUGUGACGAAGCGUGAUUGACGGUAAUGGGUAAAGAAGCACCGGCUAACUACGUG